CGAUUAGAGUUUGAUCAUGGCUCAGAUUGAACGCUGGCGGCAUGCCUAACACAUGCAAGUCGAACGGUAACAGGUCUUCGGAUGCUGACGAGUGGCGGACGGGUGAGUAAUGCGUAGGAAUCCGUCUUUUAGUGGGGGACAACCCAGGGAAACUUGGGCUAAUACCGCAUGAGCCCUGAGGGGGAAAGCGGGGGAUCUUCGGACCUCGCGCUAAGGGAAGAGCCUACGUCUGAUUAGCUAGGUGGUAGGGUAAAGGCCUACCAAGGCGACGAUCAGUAGCUGGUCUGAGAGGACGACCAGCCACACUGGGACUGAGACACGGCCCAGACUCCUACGGGAGGCAGCAGUGGGGAAUUUUUCGCAAUGGGGGCAACCCUGACGAAGCAAUGCCGCGUGGAUGAAGAAGGCCUUCGGGUUGUAAAGUCCUUUCGUGGGGGACGAAAAGGCGGGUCCUAAUACGAUCUGCUGUUGACGUGAACCCAAGAAGAAGCACCGGCUAACUCCGUGCCAGCAGCCGCGGUAAUACGGGGGGUGCAAGCGUUAAUCGGAAUCACUGGGCGUAAAGGGUGCGUAGGCGGUACGUUAGGUCUGUCGUGAAAUCCCCGGGCUCAACCUGGGAAUGGCGGUAGAAACCGGCGCACUAGAGUAUGGGAGAGGGUGGUGGAAUUCCAGGUGUAGCGGUGAAAUGCGUAGAGAUCUGGAGGAACAUCAGUGGCGAAGGCGGCCACCUGGCCCAAUACUGACGCUGAGGCACGAAAGCGUGGGGAGCAAACAGGAUUAGAUACCCUGGUAGUCCACGCCCUAAACGAUGAAUACUAGAUGUUUGGUACCUUGCGUACUGAGUGUCGUA
RNAcentral lists this ribosomal RNA (850 nucleotides) under uncultured Acidithiobacillus sp. RNAcentral's name for it is "bacterial SSU rRNA". It matches the Rfam family "Bacterial small subunit ribosomal RNA", at positions 1 to 850 of the family's 1533-position model. Lineage: Bacteria; Pseudomonadati; Pseudomonadota; Acidithiobacillia; Acidithiobacillales; Acidithiobacillaceae. The record is from RNAcentral.